Molecule: ribosomal RNA, 497 nt
Filed under: uncultured bacterium
Lineage: Bacteria
Description: partial 16S ribosomal RNA
Rfam family: Bacterial small subunit ribosomal RNA
Source: RNAcentral
GAUGAACGCUGGCGGCGUGCCUAAUACAUGCAAGUCGAGCGAACAGAUGAGGAGCUUGCUCCUCUGACGUUAGCGGCGGACGGGUGAGUAACACGUGGAUAACCUACCUAUAAGACUGGGAUAACUUCGGGAAACCGGAGCUAAUACCGGAUAAUAUAUUGAACCGCAUGGUUCAAUAGUGAGAGACGGUUUUGCUGUCACUUAUAGAUGGAUCCGCGCCGCAUUAGCUAGUUGGUAAGGUAACGGCUUACCAAGGCAACGAUGCGUAGCCGACCUGAGAGGGUGAUCGGCCACACUGGAACUGAGACACGGUCCAGACUCCUACGGGAGGCAGCAGUAGGGAAUCUUCCGCAAUGGGCGAAAGCCUGACGGAGCAACGCCGCGUGAGUGAUGAAGGUCUUCGGAUCGUAAAACUCUGUUAUUAGGGAAGAACAAAUGUGUAAGUAACUAUGCACGUCUUGACGGUACCUAAUCAGAAAGCCACGGCUAACUACGUG